CCAAGUGGGGAAUAGUUAAAAGUUCUUGUAGUUUGAGUAAGAUUGUUUACUUGUCACAACUUAAAAGCUUCACCUUUCAGAAGGCAUGAUAAGAUUGCUGUAUUCUUCCUUAAAAUACUGUGGCAAAGUGAGUUCCUGCUCUGUAUCACUAUGUCUUCAUUUCCUCUUACAUCUCUUCCACUGUUAGAGUAGCCUGUAAAAGCUUUAGUUAUGCACCUUUUAACAUGACUCAAAUAUUCAUGAAGUUAAUCAGGGGCUGACAACACUUCUAUUUGUUUCUUCAACUGGAAGUGCCCACUACAACCUAAAGAUUACAACUGUGAGAAGCCAAAGGCUAUUACAGCUUCAGAGGCCUGGGCUGACCUGCCCUGUGCAGGCUGCAAUGGCUGGGGAUGCUGGUGUGUGUCUAAUGAGAAGUUGCUGCACGGGCUGUGUGGCUGGGAGCAGUGCACACUCACACUGCUAAAGGUUUUCUCCUGGCCCUGAAUCUGUGAUCCUAUUUGUAGUUCUCUAAUUGCAACCAGCAGAAGACAAGGGUGAUGUUGGUUUUUAUGACUUGUUGCUUAGCAGCGUUGAUCAACAGAAGUCCAACCUUUUCUUUUGCUGUGACCUCGGUGAACCCGGCCUUGGCCAGAGCUCACCAGUGGGGAACAAGAGUUUCUGAAGCUGUGUGAAACUCCUGUGCUGUGCCUUGUUAGCAGUGGCUGAGGGAAGCAUCUCUUCUUGACCUCCUGGUUACCUUUGCCCUUUACUCCUCUUUCUCUCUCUUAUCACAUCUUAGAAGAAAGCAGGCACCGUCCUAGGAAGAUUUGGAGGAUGGGAAAUACAGGGACAAGUUAACUGUACUAAGAUGUAUCCUGCCUCUUUUCAGGAAAAGGAACUAAGCUGGUUCCCAGACUGUGAUGUCAGACCUCCUCUCAUGGAAGGAGAAGGACUUCAGCCAUCACAAAGGGAUUUCACAAACCAAACCAGAAGUGGUAUUGAAUGUGGUUGAAAAUGAUUGAAGGUCUGCACUGAAUGUGUGCCUUUAUCUGAUCACAUCUGGCAAAGCCUGUAAAAUAAGAGCAAGGAGAGAAGUGGGGAACUCUGGUUAAGAUCAAUAAGCUUUUAGAAACAGGAGUUUCAGGAAAGGUAAAAAAUCUGUUUUUUGUUGUUUAUGAGUGGUACCAUGCAGCAUGUAUAACCUGACUGGUUCUUUCUGUGUGCAGUGGCAAUAGAAACUGAUUAGAUUUGAAAAUUAAUGUUUCAGCCUUCAAAUAUUGUUGUCCUUGACUUUUCCUUUUCAUUAUCUAUUAGAAUGUGACAUUCUCAGAAAUGAAGGAGUCUUUAAUGUGGGCCUCUUUAGUAUUGUCAUUUCCACAGCUGCAGCAAUGGAGCAGAGCAUGGCUACUGUACAGCACUAGUAUGACUAAAAGCCACUGAAUGCUUUA
Long non-coding RNA from Melospiza georgiana, 1430 nucleotides. RefSeq lists it as uncharacterized. The record is from RefSeq and is a predicted model, not a curated record. Lineage: Eukaryota; Metazoa; Chordata; Aves; Passeriformes; Passerellidae. The transcript has 3 exons.